CUACGGGCCGCUGCAGGCGCGAAACCUUUACAAUGCACGCAAGUGUGAUAAGGGGAUCCUAAGUGCUCAUGCAAAGCAUGGGCUUUUGCCAAUCGUAAAUAGUUUGGCGAAUAAGUGGUGGGUAAGACUGGUGCCAGCCGCCGCGGUAACACCAGCGCCACGAGUGGCAACCACGUUUAUUGGGCCUAAAGCGUCCGUAGCCGGUUAGAUAAAUCUCUUGUGAAAUCGUCAGGCUUAACUUGACGGCGUGCUUGAGAGACUGUCUAACUUGAGACCGGGAGGAGUCAAAAGUAUUCCUGAGGGAGCGGUAAAAUGUGAUAAUCUCAGGAGGACUAUCUAUGGCGAAGGCAUUUGACCAGAACGGAUCUGACGGUGAGGGACGAAGGCCAGGGGAGCGAUCCGGAUUAGAUACCCGGGUAGUC
RNAcentral lists this ribosomal RNA (422 nucleotides) under uncultured archaeon. RNAcentral describes it as "partial 16S ribosomal RNA". It matches the Rfam family "Archaeal small subunit ribosomal RNA", at positions 323 to 746 of the family's 1478-position model. The record is from RNAcentral.